GUGGGGAAUAUUGGACAAUGGGGGGAACCCUGAUCCAGCGACGCCGCGUGAGUGAAGAAGUCAUUCGUGAUGUAAAGCUCUAUCAGCAGGGAAGAAAAUGACGGUACCUGACUAAGAAGCCCCGGCUAACUACGUGCCAGCAGCCGCGGUAAUACGUAGGGGGCAAGCGUUAUCCGGAUUUACUGGGUGUAAAGGGAGCGUAGACGGUUGCGCAAGUCUGGAGUGAAAUGCUGGGGCUCAACCCCAGAACUGCUCUGGAAACUGUGUAACUGGAGUGCAGGAGAGGUAAGUGGAAUUCCUAGUGUAGCGGUGAAAUGCGUAGAUAUUAGGAGGAACACCAGUGGCGAAGGCGGCUUACUGGACUGUAACUGACGUUGAGGCUCGAAAGCGUGGGGAGCAAACAGGA
RNAcentral lists this ribosomal RNA (406 nucleotides) under uncultured bacterium. RNAcentral's name for it is "bacterial SSU rRNA". It matches the Rfam family "Bacterial small subunit ribosomal RNA", at positions 354 to 777 of the family's 1533-position model. The record is from RNAcentral.